GAGGAGGGGGGCGAGAACGGGAGGGUGAGGAAGGCGCCCCCGCCCUAUCCUCGGGGAUGCUCCCCUUCCACAUGUCGGAGAGCAUCUUGCCUCCUGCCCCGCAGGAACCACGCGAAUGGGGCGAGUCGCCCAUGGCCAUGGCACAGCACCGCGGCACCCAUUCCGUAAUAUCGGAAGUGCUUCGCUCUCCCCUGGCUGGCCCCAGGCUGGCCAAGACAAAGACCACUUGGCCUGGCACAGAGCCUACAUUGAAGCGCUCAUUUGUGGCUCAUCUGCGCUGCUGGACAUUCAUCUGCCCCUACAUUUGGUCUGGUGUGCUUGUUCAUUGAAAACUAAUGGCUUGGCACGUCGUGUUCCAAAGUGGCUUGGUGCUCAGCAUCACCAGCUCCUCAUUUGUGCCUGUGCUCACCAGUGAUGAGCCAGGUGCUGCCUGACAAUGAUGUGAAGCACAUCGAAUAAACUGUCUCCACAAAUGUCUUUAUUAACUACACUUUGCGAUAAAGAUCCAAAAUAGCUUCACAUUUUUAGCAUGUUGCUGAAUCAACACAUGGCACUGAGCAAAUGCUGCUUAAGACUGGGAAAGGACAUCCAGGACAGCAGUGACAACCAUCUAAUAAAUGUUAUUGCAGACUCCCUGAGGAGCCCUGCUUCAGUCAA
Molecule: long non-coding RNA, 657 nt
Organism: Lonchura striata (white-rumped munia)
Lineage: Eukaryota; Metazoa; Chordata; Aves; Passeriformes; Estrildidae
Source: RefSeq, a predicted model, not a curated record